This 484-nucleotide ribosomal RNA is filed under the name uncultured bacterium. Its description in RNAcentral is "bacterial SSU rRNA". It matches the Rfam family "Bacterial small subunit ribosomal RNA", at positions 28 to 517 of the family's 1533-position model. The record is from RNAcentral.
GACGAACGCUGGCGGCGUGCCUAACACAUGCAAGUCGAGCGGAGAUACAUUGAAGAGCAAUCAGAUAUGUAUCUUAGCGGCGGACGGGUGAGUAACGCGUGGGCAACCUGCCUCAUACUGGGGGAUAACACAGGGAAACUUGUGCUAAUACCGCAUAAUAUCAUUAUAGGGCAUCCUGUGAUGAUCAAAGGAGCAAUCCGGUGUGAGAUGGGCCCGCGUCCAAUUAGCUAGUUGGUGGGGUAACGGCCCACCAAGGCGACGAUUGGUAGCCGAACUGAGAGGUUGAUCGGCCACAUUGGGACUGAGACACGGCCCAGACUCCUACGGGAGGCAGCAGUGGGGAAUAUUGCGCAAUGGGGAAACCCUGACGCAGCAACGCCGCGUGAAGGAUGAAGGUCUUCGGAUUGUAAACUUCUUUGAUGAGGGACGAACACAAUGACGGUACCUCAAAACAAGCCACGGCUAACUACGUGCCAAGCAGCCG